This 512-nucleotide ribosomal RNA is filed under the name uncultured bacterium. RNAcentral describes it as "bacterial SSU rRNA". It matches the Rfam family "Bacterial small subunit ribosomal RNA", at positions 8 to 526 of the family's 1533-position model. The record is from RNAcentral.
AGAGUUUGAUCCUGGCUCAGAAUCAACGCUGGCGGCGUGCCUAACACAUGCAAGUCGCACGAGAAAGUGGAGCAAUCCAUGAGUACAGUGGCGCACGGGUGAGUAACACGUGAAUGAUCUACCUCCGAGUGGGGAAUAACCUAGAGAAAUCUGGGCUAAUACCGCAUAACACUUACGAGUCAAAGCAGCAAUGCGCUUGGAGAGGAGUUCGCGGCCGAUUAGUUAGUUGGCAGGGUAAUGGCCUACCAAGACGAUGAUCGGUAUCCGGCCUGAGAGGGCGCACGGACACACUGGAACUGAAACACGGUCCAGACUCCUACGGGAGGCAGCAGUGGGGAAUUGUUCGCAAUGGGCGCAAGCCUGACGACGCAACGCCGCGUGGAGGAUGAAGAUCUUCGGGUCGUAAACUCCUUUCGAUUGGGACGAACGGCCUCCGGGUGAAUAACCCGGGGGAGUGACGGUACCGAGAGAAGAAGCCCCGGCUAACUACGUGCCAGCAGCCGCGGUAAUAC